UUAAAUUGAAGAGUUUGAUCAUGGCUCAGAUUGAACGCUGGCGGCAGGCCUAACACAUGCAAGUCGAACGGUAACAGGGAUCAGCUUGCUGAUUCGCUGACGAGUGGCGGACGGGUGAGUAAUGUCUGGGAAACUGCCUGAUGGAGGGGG
This 150-nucleotide ribosomal RNA is filed under the name Escherichia coli. RNAcentral's name for it is "partial 16S ribosomal RNA". It matches the Rfam family "Bacterial small subunit ribosomal RNA", at positions 1 to 142 of the family's 1533-position model. The record is from RNAcentral. Lineage: Bacteria; Pseudomonadati; Pseudomonadota; Gammaproteobacteria; Enterobacterales; Enterobacteriaceae.